AAGGGGUUAUGCGCUAUUAACAAGACUUUAGAAAAACCGUUCUUUCGCCUGCUAAGCGAGUAUGGGUGUUGUUAUCCAUCCAGAGUUCGAAUCUCUGUUUCUCCGCCA
RNAcentral lists this transfer RNA (108 nucleotides) under Desulfobacula toluolica Tol2. RNAcentral's name for it is "tRNA-Ser (GCT) (tRNA-Ser-GCT-2-1)". Lineage: Bacteria; Pseudomonadati; Thermodesulfobacteriota; Desulfobacteria; Desulfobacterales; Desulfobacteraceae. The record is from RNAcentral.